GUUACCAGCACGUUAGUGGCGGGCACUCUAAGGAGACUGCCGGUGACAAACCGGAGGAAGGUGGGGAUGACGUCAAGUCAUCAUCGGCCCUUACCGGCCGUGGGCUACACACGUGCUACAAUGGUCGGUACAAAGGGUUGCCAAGCCGCGAGGUGGAGCUAAUCCCAUAAAACCGAUCGUAGUCCGGAUCGCAGUCUGCAACUCGACUGCGUGAAGUCGGAAUCGCUAGUAAUCGUGAAUCAGAAUGUCACGGUGAAUACGUUCCCGGGCCUU
This 273-nucleotide ribosomal RNA is filed under the name uncultured Pseudomonas sp. Its description in RNAcentral is "partial 16S ribosomal RNA". It matches the Rfam family "Bacterial small subunit ribosomal RNA", at positions 1114 to 1382 of the family's 1533-position model. Lineage: Bacteria; Pseudomonadati; Pseudomonadota; Gammaproteobacteria; Pseudomonadales; Pseudomonadaceae. The record is from RNAcentral.